AGUGAGUAGGGCGAGAUGAGCAGCUUCCGCCGCCCUUCCCGCUCGCCGGCGGCGGCGGCGCCGCUGGACGACGAAGAUCUGCUGUCCGAGAUCCUCCUCCGCCUCCCCCCUCAGCCCUCCUCCCUCCCGCGCGCCUCGCUCGUCUGCAAGCGCUGGUGUUGCCUCGUCUCUGACCCCCGAUUCCUCCGCCGAUUCCGCCGCCAUCACCGCCGCAACCCUCCCCUCCUCGGCUUCUUCUUUGAGGAAGUGAUUCCUGCCCGCGGGAUCUCCUUCGUACCAACUCUGGAGCCCCCCAACCGUGUCCCCGUCGGGCGCUUCUCUUUGCAGUUCGACGACGGCGACCGCUACAGGCUCCUCAACUGCCGCCAUGGCCUCGUGCUCAUCUUGUUCGGGAAGCACAACCAGGCCCUGGUGUGGGACCCUGUCAACGGCGACCAGCACCGCGUUGCCGUUCCCCCAAGCUUCUACAUGGCGGCGCCGACCCGGGUCAGAGGGGCAGUGCUCCGGCCUGCCGGAGACAUCCGCCACUUCCAAGUCGUCUUGAUAGGCACGCACAAAGAACAGCAUAAACCAGGGAUCGCCUGCGUUUACUCCUCGGAGACCAAGGAAUGGGGUAAUCUUGUCUCAACACCGCUCCCACCCGAGAAUUCUAUUUACAGCUUUCGCACCAUUGUUUAUAGGGGCAUGGCCUGCGUCCUGGUUGGGAAUUGCCUCUACUGGCUGCUUUCUGAGAGAUCAGCUCUCAUCCUGGAGUUUGAUUUGGAUAUGCAGAGGCUAGCUGUGAUACAUGCGCCAGUGGACAUCGGUGCCAAUAGCAAUUGCCACUUCUCAGUUAUGAGAGCCGAGGGCGGUGGUCUUGGUUUCCUCUUUCUGUCAGAUUUCAACGCCCAAAUAUGGAGCAGGAAGAAGGAUUGUGAUGCUGCUGUUUCAUGGGUGCUCAGAAGAACUGUUCAGCUGGAUAAGCUACUUCCCCUCAAACAAGGGAUGGGCGUAGUGCCCCUGAUACUACUGUUACUAGGGUUGGCUGAGGACAAUAAUGUGUUGUUCCUGAUGGCAGAUGCCGGCAUCUUCAUGGUCCAGCUUGAGUCAUUGCAGUUCAAGAGACUUUCCAAGAUCAGCUUCUGGCGUCAUCUUCAUCCAUUCGAAACUGUCUAUACUGCAGGUAAUAGCACACCAUUACACUCUGCCCGUACAAAAAAAAAUACAAAAAAAAAACCCGGAAUGCUGCUCACUUCAUUCCGUGUUAAGCUAACAAUUUCUUGUAGUGUCUUGCACCAGUUAUUUCUUUUGCUGCUUGAUGAUUUGUUCAUUAUAUAGAAAUAUUGUUCUGUAUCAUUUUCUUUCAUUGCAUCUGUCGUGAUGUUUUAUGUAGUUGUUCUGGGUUGGAAAAAUAUUCGUUAGCAGUGCCGGUAUCUAGCUUAGUUAAGUGUCAUCAGUUCUUUUUUCUGUACCCAGGCGAUGUGUAUUGUUCUAUUGUAUUGUGAUUCCUGUGAAUAAUUAUCAUUGCCAUUGGACUAUGUGAUUUAAGUCUAGCAAACUGCCUCUAUCAGUUUAGUAUAUGAAUAUCCAUUCAAUGAUACAAUUAACACCAAGAACCAAGUACUUUGUGUAAUAACUGAACUAAAUGCCAUUGUUGCUUGCUUAUUCACAUAUGCACCGCGGUGCAGUUUUUUCCCAAGAUGAGAUACAUAACAGUUGUAAGUUCAAGAUAAUUAAAACUAAAUUGAACCAACUAAAUUGUCAAAUAGAUAACUCAAGAUGCUCAUUUGAAAGCAGAAAGCAAGUUAUAUUUCUGUCACUCAAUAUUAUUAUCUCUACUGAUCUUCUAAUAAUUUUAAAUCCGUAACAGCGACUUGCUUUACAUUAAUUCUAUGAACAAUUUGUUCAUUUUGUAACUUGGAGGCGAGUCUCUGCUGCCAGUAUCAAGUCCAUUUGCACCAGGACUUUAUAAUGAACUGACUUCGUUACAUAAUUCAGGCCGAAUGUAUGUAGAGAAAAUCUAAACUGAAUUUUCAUGAUCACAUCUGUUGCUAGGAUUUAUUUGUGUGAGCAUAUUCCAUUAUUUUUGUAUGGCAUGCAGCGAGGUUAAGAAUAAUUCUAGCUGACUUCUUUCAUCUGAUUAGCCAAUAGUUCCAGUGUACAUGUUCUACAUUUUUACGAUAUGAAAGAGUAAAUACUCUUUUGAGGAAUAUGCUUUGAAUUUGACUAAUGUUGUGUCGAACCUGAGUUUUUCUCUCUGAAACUGCACCUCUGACUCUGUGAGUUCAUCUGAAUAUCUCCUUGUUGCCUUCUCUUAUCUACUUGGUUUUAUAUCGGAAUGCCAUUGGUUGUUUGACUUCUUAUCCUUAAAGAAACAUACAUUGGCGGUGAACACGAUGGAGCUGAUCUUUUUGCACAACACAUAGGAUGACUGUCGGGUCAGUCGGUCAGAUAUGCAUAAGGUGAUGUUGACCAGGUUCUUCCAUGUUGGAUAGCAUGCGCUGGUGAACGGUGAAGCGGACUUGGAAGGAAGUAAUCACUUACUAUUUUGUUUAACUUGAGCCUAUUAUGUUAUUUCUGGAACAACUAGCCAACUCGCAUAAAGACGCAAUUCACUUGCUGUGAUUAAUCAGUAGUACUACUCUCA
Molecule: RNA transcript, 2626 nt
Organism: Triticum aestivum (bread wheat)
Lineage: Eukaryota; Viridiplantae; Streptophyta; Magnoliopsida; Poales; Poaceae
Exons: 2
Source: RefSeq, a predicted model, not a curated record